ACGGAGGGAGCAAGCGUUACUCGGAAUUAUUGGGCGUAAAGGGCGCGUAGGCGAUCUGACAAGUCUGGUGUGAAAGCCCACAUGUUAACUGUGGAAGUGCAUUAGAAACUGUUGGAUUUGAGUUCAGGAGAGGAAGGCAGAAUUCCCGGUGUAGCGGUGAAAUGCGUAGAGAUCGGGAGGAAUACCAGUGGCGAAGGCGGCCUUCUGGACUGACACUGACGCUGAGGCGCGAAAGCCAGGGGAGCAAACGGGA
Molecule: ribosomal RNA, 253 nt
Filed under: uncultured prokaryote
Description: partial 16S ribosomal RNA
Rfam family: Bacterial small subunit ribosomal RNA
Source: RNAcentral